This 260-nucleotide unclassified non-coding RNA is filed under the name Hevea brasiliensis (rubber tree). Lineage: Eukaryota; Viridiplantae; Streptophyta; Magnoliopsida; Malpighiales; Euphorbiaceae. The record is from RNAcentral.
GUAUAUGGGUAUUAAGUAUGAUUUAAGUUGUUUUAGGGCCAAGAAACUUGUUUAUAUGGUUGGGUUGAGUUUUGAAACUUUAGAGUGAGUUUGGAUGUUGAUGGGAGAAGGAUUUUGCAGGUUUUUAACUUGAAAAUUCUAAAAAUUUCUAAGUUCAGCUGCUGAAAAUCAAAGGUUUGGUAGUUGAAGCAUGCAAUUUCUCGAAAAAUCUGGAACUUUUCUAGGUUCGUUAGCUAAAAUCCCAGACUUCAAUAGCAUCA